CGAACGGGCGAUUGACGCUGAGGCACGAAAGCGUGGGGAUCAAACAGGAUUAGAUACCCUGGUAGUCCACGCAGUAAACGAUGAUAACUAACCGUUGGUUUUACGGAAUCAGUGGCCAAGCGAAAGCGAUAAGUUAUCCACCUGGGGAGUACGACCGCAAGGUUGAAACUCAAAGGAAUUGACGGGGGCCCGCACAAGCGGAGGAACAUGUGGUUUAAUUCGAUGAUACGCGAGGAACCUUACCCGGGCUCGAACGGCAGAGGAACAAUCCAGAGAUGGUGCGGCCCUACGGGGCUUCUGUCGAGGUGCUGCAUGGUUGUCGUCAGCUCGUGCCGUGAGGUGUCGGCUCAAGUGCCAUAACGAGCGCAACCCUUGCCGGUAGUUACCAGCAUGUAAUGAUGGGGACUCUACCGGGACUGCCACCGCAAGGUGUGAGGAAGGGGGGGAUGACGUCAAAUCAGCACGGCCCUUACGUCCGGGGCGACACACGUGUUACAAUGGCGGUGACAGAGGGGAGCUACCUGGUGACAGGAUGGGAAUCUCGAAAAGCCGCCUCAGUUCGGAUCGGAGUCUGCAACCCGGCUCCGUGAAGCCGGAUUCG
This 601-nucleotide ribosomal RNA is filed under the name uncultured bacterium. RNAcentral describes it as "bacterial SSU rRNA". It matches the Rfam family "Bacterial small subunit ribosomal RNA", at positions 729 to 1334 of the family's 1533-position model. The record is from RNAcentral.